This 453-nucleotide ribosomal RNA is filed under the name uncultured Sphingobacteriales bacterium. Its description in RNAcentral is "bacterial SSU rRNA". It matches the Rfam family "Bacterial small subunit ribosomal RNA", at positions 925 to 1382 of the family's 1533-position model. Lineage: Bacteria; Pseudomonadati; Bacteroidota; Sphingobacteriia; Sphingobacteriales. The record is from RNAcentral.
ACAAGCGUGGAGCAUGUGUUUAAUUCGAUGAUACGCGAGGAACCUUACCUGGGCUCAAAUGUAUGUUGACGUAUUCUGAAAGGGAUACUUCUUCGGACAAUAUACAAGGUGCUGCAUGGUUGUCGUCAGCUCGUGCCGUGAGGUGUCGGGUUAAGUCCCAUAACGAGCGCAACCCCUAUCAUUAGUUGCCAUCAGGUCAAGCUGGGGACUCUAAUGAAACUGCCUACGCAAGUAGUGAGGAAGGUGGGGAUGACGUCAAAUCAGCACGGCCCUUACGUCCAGGGCUACACACGUGCUACAAUGGCCGGUACAAAGGGCAGCUACCUGGUGACAGGAUGCUAAUCUCAAAAGUCGGUCUCAGUUCGGAUCGGAGUCUGCAACCCGACUCCGUGAAGUUGGAUUCGCUAGUAAUCGCGCAUCAGCCAUGGCGCGGUGAAUACGUUCCCGGGCCUU